Molecule: transfer RNA, 60 nt
Filed under: Hemiselmis rufescens
Lineage: Eukaryota; Cryptophyceae; Cryptomonadales; Hemiselmidaceae
Rfam family: tRNA
About the family: Transfer RNA (tRNA) molecules are approximately 80 nucleotides in length. Their secondary structure includes four short double-helical elements and three loops (D, anti-codon, and T loops).
Source: RNAcentral
CAUGGUCUAGUGGUUAUGACGCUUGACUUUGAAUCAAGAGACCAGGGUUCGAAUCCCUGU